Molecule: ribosomal RNA, 270 nt
Filed under: uncultured archaeon
Lineage: Archaea
Description: partial 16S ribosomal RNA
Rfam family: Archaeal small subunit ribosomal RNA
Source: RNAcentral
CAGCACCUCAAGUGGUCAGGAUGAUUAUUGGGCCUAAAGCAUCCGUAGCCGGCGCUGUAAGUUUUCGGUUAAAUCUGUACGCUCAACGUACAGGCUGCCGGGAAUACUGCAGCGCUAGGGAGUGGGGGAGGUAGACGGUACUCGGUAGGAAGGGGUAAAAUCCUUUGAUCUAUUGAUGACCACCUGUGGCGAAGGCGGUCUACCAGAACACGUCCGACGGUGAGGGAUGAAAGCUGGGGGAGCAAGCCGGAUUAGAUACCCGAGUAGUCC